Molecule: long non-coding RNA, 4643 nt
Filed under: Brassica napus (rape)
Lineage: Eukaryota; Viridiplantae; Streptophyta; Magnoliopsida; Brassicales; Brassicaceae
Description: long non-coding RNA (BNAP_LNC009581)
Source: RNAcentral
CAUUGGUGGUAAAAUCGAAAUCGAAAACCGCAUAGCGGCACUCGUCGGCAGGGAGGGAAGCGGUGAAAUCAUCGUAAGUCUCUUGGGGGUUUCCUAACUUUUCCACCACCACUUGCUGCCCGUCUAUCCUGAAUAUUAUGAAACGAUAGGUUCUUUUCUUUAGCUCCAAAAACUUCAGCUUGCAGUUGUCUUCCACUGCCAUCCCUGACGCCGCGUUCGCCUUUUCAUUCAAUCAUAUCAUAGAAAAUACUUUCAUCACCAUCACAUCAAAUACAAAAGUAUUUUCUUUUCUUCUGAAGUUAGCUAGGUUUUUAUUCCAUUUUUAUGUCGAAGCUUAUGUAAAAUAUGUGAUUAACUUAUGAAAUAAAAACGAGAUAAAUAUUUAUGUUAUACAAAAUAAUGAGAAACACGUCAAUAACAUGGCGAAAUCGAACUCUAAACAUGAUUAGGCAAUCAUUACAUCCAAACUCCAGGUUUUAAAGGUCUACGUAGGCAUCCGUAUUUUCAGAAUCAGACAUCGAUUGGCUGCUACAUGCCAUUGUAUAGUAACAAUGAUCCUACAGAAUUAUUAUAAAAGUAAGAAAAGAGAGGAGACAAACCAUUGCUUUUGUUUAGUUUCUAUGGUAAAGCUUGAGGAAGAGAAACUUCUUGUUCUGUGUGAAUAUUGAUUGUCCUCUGGAAAAGAGGAAGAUGGGAAUGUAAUUUGUUAGGAGAAUUAAGGAAGAGGAUAAUGCUUAAUUGGUUUGUGAAGGGAGGGUCGAGACAAACUCGGACAACUGCUCUUAUUUAUUAUCAUUAAUAUUAGUCACUAAUCUGUUUCUGUGAUAAGGGCGUACAUUGUUUUCUUAUUUCAAACCUUAAAAUUAGCUUAACCAUCCCCUCUUUUAAGGCAAUGCACAGUCUAUUAUUAGCACCUAUUUGUAUACACCAUGCAUACGUCCAUACGCAUGCAUGCAUAUGCGUAUAUAGAUUCAUUAUCUAUUUUAUCCGCUAGGUUGCAUAUUUUUUGCUCAUUUCUAUCUUUUGUAUUCUUUUUUCUACCUUCUUACAAUGCAUGUAUAGCAUCAAAUGCCUAUAUGAACAGACUAUUCAUUUAUGCUAUGUUACCACUGGAGCAAUGGCUUCCCAUAGCCAAAUCUUCCUUAUUCUGAUGAUCAUGACUUCUUCUUCUUCUCCUUUCUGUUUCGGUGGAAGGUACGUUUCGAAAUCCCUCAUUGAUCGAUCGUUUCUCUUGUUUGAGUUUUAACAGAGAUCCUUGCAUUUUCGAUUGCAUUUCACUCUCAACCUGAUUGAAGGACAAGUAGAUUUAUUUUUGCAAAUAAUGGGGUUUGCGAGAAUGUUAAUCACAUUUCAGUUUGGUUAGCUUUAAUACCCUGAUCCUUCUACUUUGAUUUAUAUUUCCUUUUUUAAUUUAUGCAGUCGGAAGGAACUCCGAGAUAAAGAUGAAAGUUAUACAGAGUCGAGUUAUGUUGUUGGAUCUAAAUUCGUGGACCCGAGACGUGUUCUUCAACUUUCAUGGCAACCAAGGUCAGGUACUUUUUUCAUGGAUAUAUGUCUUCAUAGAUCAAGUACUUACACACAAUCUUGCGUAUAGGAAAAUUUCUAGCUGUUCUGUUGUUAGUUGAAGUUUUUAGAUAGCCUAAAAAUUAAUCUUCAAGAUACUAAUUUGUGUUUUACUAUUUGGUAUGCACAGGGUCUUUCUUUACCGUGGAUUCUUGUCAGAGGAAGAGUGUGAUCAUCUGAUAUCUCUGGUAAAUUCAUCUUUCCUUCCGGUUUGUUGAGAUUUGUUUGAUACAUAUGUUCUUUUGUAAUGGUUGUUGCUUUUCUCUACAGAGGAAGGAGACUUCAGAGAUUAAGUCAGGGGUUGCUCAUAGGAAGACGCAACUUGUAAGUUCUGAGUACGUUUUAGAUGUGCCGGUAAGUUCUUAGUUUAUUCUUGAAGUUUGCAGAUACACAAGCGUGUCAAUAGAUCUUUGGUCAUAUAUACCUUAAACACUAUGUGGUAAAGAUGCUAUAUAGAUGUUAUUCAAGUAGACUAUAAGAUAACAUGUUUGUAGUUUUGUGUGACAACCAACUUAGAAAGCGCAGGUGUUAUAUAACCCUAGUGUAGCAGUUUCCACCUCGGUUGUUCGAAAUAGCUAUAACAAUGUUAUGUUCCAGUCAUUAAAUUGGUAGUACACUUUUGGGUAAACUAGGAUCCAAUAGUUGCUGGAAUUGAAGAAAAGAUAUCUGCUUGGACUUUCCUACCAAGAGGUACUAAGUACAAACCUUUACUUAUCUUGGUUUUCAAUCCAUGGACACCUUUUAGUUGCUCUUGGAAAGGCCUCUUUUCUUGAGUUAUGUUUGUAAUCGCCUUCUUCUUGGCCAAAAACUGCCGGCUUAUGUGUCUCUUUCAGAAAAUAGCGGUCCGAUCAAGGUAAGAAGUUACACAUCGGAAAAGACAGGCAAGAAGUUGGAUUAUUUUGGAGAAGAUUCUAGCUCAGUAUGGCAUGAAUCUUAGUUGGCAACUAUCAUUUUCUACGUCUCAAAUACAACUCAAGGUGGAGAGCUUCUCUUUCCAAAUUCAGGGGUCAGUAAUAACAAAUAGAUUGUCGAGUCUUUUUGGCACAACACAAUGAAUAUUCAAAUCAUAUAUCCAUUUUUUUACCCUCCUGGUGAAAAGCAAACAGAGUUGGUCAGACUGCUCACAGACCGGUAACAUUUUAAGGCCAGUAAAAGGAAACGCAGUUCUGUUCUUCACAAGACACUUGAAUGCAUCUUUGGAUCAGACAAGCACUCAUUUUAGAUGCCCUGUGCUGAAAGGAAAGCUGUUGGCUGCGACAAAACUGAUAUACGCCAAGAAACAAGCAAGAAAUGAUGUGGACAGUGGUGAAUGCAGUGAUGAAGAUGAGAACUGUGGACAAUGGGCCGAGCUUGGGGAGUGCAAGAAGAAUCCUGUUUAUAUGAUUGGCUCUCCUGAUUACUUUGGUACCUGCAGAAAGAGUUGUAAAGCGUGUUGAUUCUUGAUAUCAUUCUCAUCAUAUUUGAAAUAAUGGCCAUACUGAAACAUUUUUUCUCAAUUUCUAACAGAUUCAAAUUUGUCAAGCUCUCAAGUCUCAUUACUUUUUCCUUCGAAGACAAAUAUUCAAGUGUUCAUAUAACUACAUAAUACUCGAUAAAUUAAUAAUCUCUAUAAAUUAAUAAAUUUUGUCGGUCCCAACUUGAACCGGUUCAAAAUUUGUCACAAAUCGAUAAAAUAAUAAGAUAAUAUUUUUUUUUCAAAAAUUCUAUGUAAAUAUAUGGUCCCAAUAAAAUUAUAAAUUAAUCAUUUAUAUAUAUGCAUAUUUCAUAUUAGUAAAAAUCUAUUAUUAUAUUAUUUAUUUUAUAUUCACAAUAGAAUUAUCUUUACAUUUUCUUAACACUUCGUAUAUUUUUGAUGAGAUUUAGUAAUAUUAUAUCUAAAACCACUUUUAAGUUUUAUGCAAUAUAUAUUAUAUACAACAAAUAAUAUGAUAAAAUUAAUAUAAAUGUAAAAAUUUUUAAAAAAUAACAAUUAAUGUCUAUACACUAAAAUCAAAUAUAUUUUUAUCUUAAAAUAUGAAAUCUAAAUAAAGAAACUUUUGUAAAUUAAUAUCUCUAUAAAUGAAUAAAAUUUUAAAGUCUCAACAUUAUUAAUUUAUAGAAGUUCUACUAUACCAUUUUUUAAAGGAUUUUUAACUUUAAAACCCCUCAACUAAGUUUGUUUUGCGUCAAAACCCCUAAACUAAGUAUUUAACGAAAAAACCCUUAAACUAACUUUAUUUAAUGAAUUAAACCCUAGCAGGUCAUAAAUACAAUUACUACCGGUAAAUCUUUAGUUUAGGAGUUUUGAACCUAUCCUUAGAGCUUGCGUACACCAUCUUCAUCCUCACUCUAGAUGAAUCCGGUGACCUACCAUGCAUCAUCCAACAAAGCCAAAACACAUAAAUACACUUCAUUCAAAACUACUGAAACAAAAUCAAGUCUGCUACGUGGGAAAUGGGAAUAUUAAUUAUAAGAAGGGUAGGAUUGUUAUCACUUAUCAGGUUCUAAACACAACUGGAUGAAACAUUUGCUUUGACUCCCAAAUUUUAUAAAGCUAAUAUAUUUAUACAGAUCGCAUGAUUUUCAAAUUGUCUAUUUUUUAUCAAGAUUAACUUUAAAAUGUUUAUGGCCUUCUAAAUCUCAGAGCCGAUCAUGGUUAAUUAGUACUGGCAUGACAUGAAAUUGAAGAUAUAUAAAGUUUAAUAAGGCUAUAUGAUGUACAUAUGUUCUAACGUUUUAACUCAACAAGGCUUUAUGAUAUAUAGUAAAAUUGAAUGAAAGUGUUCCAAACCAAAAGGUAAAAUUGAAUGAAAACAUCAACGAAGGAAAAGUAGAGAAUGUCGUACCAAGCUAUGAAGAAGAUUUUGCUCUUCUGGCAAUUUUCAUUGGUGGUAAAAUCGAAAUCGAAAACCGCAUAGCGGCACUCGUCGGCAGGGAGGGAAGCGGUGAAAUCAUCGUAAGUCUCUUGGGGGUUUCCUAACUUUUCCACCACCACUUGCUGCCCGUCUAUCCUGAAUAUUAUGAAACGAUAGGUUCUUUUCUUUAGCUCCAAAAACUUCAGCUUGCAGUUGUCUUCCACUGCCAUCCCUGACGCCGCGUUC